AUUCAGAGUUGCAAACUCCCUACACCAUUGUGAACGUUACCUAAACCGUUGCUUCGGCGGGCGGCCCCGGGGUUUACCCCCCGGGCGCCCCUGGGCCCCACCGCGGGCGCCCGCCGG
This 117-nucleotide ribosomal RNA is filed under the name Chaetomium globosum. RNAcentral's name for it is "partial 18S ribosomal RNA". The record is from RNAcentral. Lineage: Eukaryota; Fungi; Ascomycota; Sordariomycetes; Sordariales; Chaetomiaceae.